AACGAACGCUGGCGGCAUGCCUAACACAUGCAAGUCGAACGGGAUGGCACCUUCGGGUGCCGGCGAGUGGCGGACGGGUGAGUAACGCGUGGGAACCUGCCCUUGGGUACGGAAUAACGCUUGGAAACGAGUGCUAAUACCGUAUGUGCCCUACGGGGGAAAGAUUUAUCGCCCAAGGAUGGGCCCGCGUUAGAUUAGCUAGUUGGUGGGGUAAUGGCCUACCAAGGCGACGAUCUAUAGCUGGUCUGAGAGGAUGAUCAGCCACACUGGGACUGAGACACGGCCCAGACUCCUACGGGAGGCAGCAGUGGGGAAUAUUGGACAAUGGGGGAAACCCUGAUCCAGCAAUGCCGCGUGUGUGAUGAAGGCCCUAGGGUUGUAAAACACUUUCAGGUGGGAAGAUAAUGACGGUACCACCAGAAGAAGCUCCGGCUAACUCCG
Molecule: ribosomal RNA, 441 nt
Filed under: uncultured Alphaproteobacteria bacterium
Lineage: Bacteria; Pseudomonadati; Pseudomonadota; Alphaproteobacteria
Description: bacterial SSU rRNA
Rfam family: Bacterial small subunit ribosomal RNA
Source: RNAcentral